UUAAGCGACUAAGCGUACACGGUGGAUGCCCUGGCAGUCAGAGGCGAUGAAGGACGUGCUAAUCUGCGAUAAGCGUCGGUGAGGUGAUAUGAACCGUUAUAACCGGCGAUUUCCGAAUGGGGAAACCCAGUGUGUUUCGACACACUAUCAUUAACUGAAUCCAUAGGUUAAUGAGGCGAACCGGGGGAACUGAAACAUCUAAGUACCCCGAGGAAAAGAAAUCAACCGAGAUUCCCCCAGUAGCGGCGAGCGAACGGGGAGGAGCCCAGAGCCUGAAUCAGUGUGUGUGUUAGUGGAAGCGUCUGGAAAGGCGUGCGAUACAGGGUGACAGCCCCGUACACAAAAAUGCACAUAUUGUGAGCUCGAUGAGUAGGGCGGGACACGUGGUAUCCUGUCUGAAUAUGGGGGGAGCAUCCUCCAAGGCUAAAUACUCCUGACUGACCGAUAGUGAACCAGUACCGUGAGGGAAAGGCGAAAAGAACCCCGGCGAGGGGAGUGAAAAAGAACCUGAAACCGUGUACGUACAAGCAGUGGGAGCCUCUUAAUGGGGUGACUGCGUACCUUUUGUAUAAUGGGUCAGCGACUUAUAUUCUGUAGCAAGGUUAACCGAAUAGGGGAGCCGAAGGGAAACCGAGUCUUAACUGGGCGUUAAGUUGCAGGGUAUAGACCCGAAACCCGGUGAUCUAGCCAUGGGCAGGUUGAAGGUUGGGUAACACUAACUGGAGGACCGAACCGACUAAUGUUGAAAAAUUAGCGGAUGACUUGUGGCUGGGGGGGAAAGGCCAAUCAAACCGGGAGAUAGCUGGUUCUCCCCGAAAGCUAUUUAGGUAGCGCCUCGUGAAUUCAUCUCCGGGGGUAGAGCACUGUUUCGGCAAGGGGGUCAUCCCGACUUACCAACCCGAUGCAAACUGCGAAUACCGGAGAAUGUUAUCACGGGAGACACACGGCGGGUGCUAACGUCCGUCGUGAAGAGGGAAACAACCCAGACCGCCAGCUAAGGUCCCAAAGUCAUGGUUAAGUGGGAAACGAUGUGGGAAGGCCCAGACAGCCAGGAUGUUGGCUUAGAAGCAGCCAUCAUUUAAAGAAAGCGUAAUAGCUCACUGGUCGAGUCGGCCUGCGCGGAAGAUGUAACGGGGCUAAACCAUGCACCGAAGCUGCGGCAGCGACGCUUAUGCGUUGUUGGGUAGGGGAGCGUUCUGUAAGCCUGUGAAGGUGGCCUGUGAGGGUUGCUGGAGGUAUCAGAAGUGCGAAUGCUGACAUAAGUAACGAUAAAGCGGGUGAAAAGCCCGCUCGCCGGAAGACCAAGGGUUCCUGUCCAACGUUAAUCGGGGCAGGGUGAGUCGACCCCUAAGGCGAGGCCGAAAGGCGUAGUCGAUGGGAAACAGGUUAAUAUUCCUGUACUUGGUGUUACUGCGAAGGGGGGACGGAGAAGGCUAUGUUGGCCGGGCGACGGUUGUCCCGGUUUAAGCGUGUAGGCUGGUUUUCCAGGCAAAUCCGGAAAACCAAGGCUGAGGCGUGAUGACGAGGCACUACGGUGCUGAAGCGACAAAUGCCCUGCUUCCAGGAAAAGCCUCUAAGCAUCAGGUAACAUCAAAUCGUACCCCAAACCGACACAGGUGGUCAGGUAGAGAAUACCAAGGCGCUUGAGAGAACUCGGGUGAAGGAACUAGGCAAAAUGGUGCCGUAACUUCGGGAGAAGGCACGCUGAUAUGUAGGUGAAGCGACUUGCUCGUGGAGCUGAAAUCAGUCGAAGAUACCAGCUGGCUGCAACUGUUUAUUAAAAACACAGCACUGUGCAAACACGAAAGUGGACGUAUACGGUGUGACGCCUGCCCGGUGCCGGAAGGUUAAUUGAUGGGGUUAGCGGCAACGCGAAGCUCUUGAUCGAAGCCCCGGUAAACGGCGGCCGUAACUAUAACGGUCCUAAGGUAGCGAAAUUCCUUGUCGGGUAAGUUCCGACCUGCACGAAUGGCGUAAUGAUGGCCAGGCUGUCUCCACCCGAGACUCAGUGAAAUUGAACUCGCUGUGAAGAUGCAGUGUACCCGCGGCAAGACGGAAAGACCCCGUGAACCUUUACUAUAGCUUGACACUGAACAUUGAGCCUUGAUGUGUAGGAUAGGUGGGAGGCUUUGAAGUGUGGACGCCAGUCUGCAUGGAGCCGACCUUGAAAUACCACCCUUUAAUGUUUGAUGUUCUAACGUUGGCCCGUAAUCCGGGUUGCGGACAGUGUCUGGUGGGUAGUUUGACUGGGGCGGUCUCCUCCUAAAGAGUAACGGAGGAGCACGAAGGUUGGCUAAUCCUGGUCGGACAUCAGGAGGUUAGUGCAAUGGCAUAAGCCAGCUUGACUGCGAGCGUGACGGCGCGAGCAGGUGCGAAAGCAGGUCAUAGUGAUCCGGUGGUUCUGAAUGGAAGGGCCAUCGCUCAACGGAUAAAAGGUACUCCGGGGAUAACAGGCUGAUACCGCCCAAGAGUUCAUAUCGACGGCGGUGUUUGGCACCUCGAUGUCGGCUCAUCACAUCCUGGGGCUGAAGUAGGUCCCAAGGGUAUGGCUGUUCGCCAUUUAAAGUGGUACGCGAGCUGGGUUUAGAACGUCGUGAGACAGUUCGGUCCCUAUCUGCCGUGGGCGCUGGAGAACUGAGGGGGGCUGCUCCUAGUACGAGAGGACCGGAGUGGACGCAUCACUGGUGUUCGGGUUGUCAUGCCAAUGGCACUGCCCGGUAGCUAAAUGCGGAAGAGAUAAGUGCUGAAAGCAUCUAAGCACGAAACUUGCCCCGAGAUGAGUUCUCCCUGACUCCUUGAGAGUCCUGAAGGAACGUUGAAGACGACGACGUUGAUAGGCCGGGUGUGUAAGCGCAGCGAUGCGUUGAGCUAACCGGUACUAAUGAACCGUGAGGCUUAACCUU
RNAcentral lists this ribosomal RNA (2903 nucleotides) under Escherichia coli UMEA 3693-1. RNAcentral describes it as "bacterial LSU rRNA". It matches the Rfam family "Bacterial large subunit ribosomal RNA". The record is from RNAcentral. Lineage: Bacteria; Pseudomonadati; Pseudomonadota; Gammaproteobacteria; Enterobacterales; Enterobacteriaceae.